CUAGUGUACCUGUUGUGGCGCCAGCUGCACCGCAGGGUAGCUACGUUCGGUUAAGAUAAGCGCUGAAAGCAUCUAAGCGCGAAACUUGCCUCAAGAUAAGACUUCUUUAUAAGGGUCGUUAAAGACUAUAACGUUGAUAGGUUGCAAGUGUAAAGGCAGUAAUGCCAAAGCUGAGCAAUACUAAUUACCCGAAACUUUUAUUGAA
This 205-nucleotide ribosomal RNA is filed under the name Bacteroidota bacterium. RNAcentral's name for it is "Bacteroidetes bacterium (activated sludge metagenome) partial 23S ribosomal RNA". It matches the Rfam family "Bacterial large subunit ribosomal RNA", at positions 2709 to 2925 of the family's 2925-position model. The record is from RNAcentral. Lineage: Bacteria; Pseudomonadati; Bacteroidota.